This is a long non-coding RNA of Argiope bruennichi, 2950 nucleotides long. RefSeq lists it as uncharacterized. The record is from RefSeq and is a predicted model, not a curated record. NCBI's taxonomy places the organism in Eukaryota, Metazoa, Arthropoda, Arachnida, Araneae, Araneidae. The transcript has 10 exons.
UCUUUGCAUGCUAGAAUAAUUUUUUUAAAUGAUUUUUGUUAAACCUUGAAUAUUUUGAAUUGUGCUGGGAUAGAUAUAUUUUAUAAUUUAGUAUCUUUUGCGUUAUUAAGCAACUUCUUAGUAUUUUGAUGGAACAAUGGUACCCUCCCCCAACCCUCGUCUAUGGAAUGACUUUUUUUCAGUUUUUGUCACAAAUUCUAUCAACUAGCAAUUUGGAUGACCAAGAAACUACAUCAGAAUGAUAGAUAAUGUAUAUAUAGGUUAGAACACUAACAACCUUUUGCCGACUAAAGGCUUGCGACUCGCCAGCAGAAGUGAGAUUGCUUCCUUGGUUCUCUCUCGUGUUCCGAGCUGACAUGAACUACGCUGGAUGCUGUGAAAAGUUCGCUAAAGAUGGCAUCAAAAUAUUAAAUCUAAGUAUCCAUUUAGUUCCUUGAUUAUAAUACUAAAAUUGCGAAAACAUGACAUCCUGUAAUCAUUUUAUUUAUUCUUCUAGUCGAAUGAGUUGCAAGUUAUAAGGAGAGAAAACAUUAUUACUUAGAAACAUCUAUCGAAACAUAUGCAGCAUUCCCAUCUCUUUCUCAACAUAAGAAUCGGCUGAAUCGAAAGACGGGCCAUUCUGACAUCAAUUUCUGUAAAGGGCCGAAUAAAUCAGACGCCACAGAAUGGAGCCAGCAUGCGAGAGCCUUCUGCAUGUAGCCGUCCUCCCCAGGAAAAUGUUGCCAGGCAAGUAACGAACCACUUAGUGCUAAAACAAGACAAGAAAUGUUUCCAGGCGAUGUGUAAGUGUCAUAUUUGCAGAGUGACUACUUCAGUUUCUGUCAGAUUCUCUAUCAGCAAUCUGUAUGAUGGCAAAUAUUUUCUCAUAAUGGUAUUAGUAUAUACAAGUUGGAAAACCUACUGCUUAUAUAAUUGCUCUUUUUCUGAGUGAAGACUUCCUAUUUACACCUAAAGUAAGACGGCUUUCAUGAAUCCACAUAUGUCCUGAAUCGAACCCAUUUAUGCUGAAUGUGGUGAAACUCUAGCUAAAAAUGACUACUUAUUUUGGCAAUGGAAAAAGUUCUCCUUAAGCUAUACGGAGGCAAUCCGUAAUUACCUGGAAACAUCUAUCAAAGCAAAAACAAUAUUUCCAGCUAUUUCUCAACACAAGAAUAAGGCUUGGAAAGUUUCCUCAUUGAUUCCGAAGCGAUAUCGUAUUGUAUAGAUUGGAAUAAGUUUUGAUCUAUAGCCAUCUCUUGCUGAAUAAAGCCUUACCACACUCCACUAGAAGUGAGACUGCUUUCUCGGUUCCACACGUGUUCUGAACUGGCAUCUACUGAGCUGGAUGUUAUGAAAUACUCGCUACAGAUGACAUCAAAAUAUUAAAUCCAAGUAUAGUCGGUUCCUUUUUUAUAAUACUAAAAUUGUAGAAAUAACAUUCUUUAAUCGCUUUUUUUUUUUGUCUUAUAGAAGGCAAAUUUCCCCUUAUCUGUAAGGGGAAGAACAUUAUUAUUUGUAAACCUUUAUCAAAACAGAAGCAGCAUAUCCAGCAAUUUCUCAAUGUUGUAAUCGGUGGUACUGCAGCACGUGCCAUUCGGAGGUCAAAUUCUGUACAAGUAAGGAUUAAAUAAAUCAAUCGCCUACGAAACAGCCAGCAUAUGAAAGCUUUUUGCAAGUCGUCGUUCUCAAAAUGAAACUUUUGUCCUGCCAAGAACUUUCUACUGUAUUGAAAUAAGACAUGUUUCCAGAAUGAAAGUGGAAUGUUUUUCAAACGAAAUUUCAUUUUGUCACUACAUGAUGGUCUGAAUUUGAACGACAGCUGACGACAGGUGGCAAUUGAAUAACUUGGGACCUAUACAAGUGCAUCUUACUGAAUGAAGACUUUUCGUCCACCACAAGGACAACUGUUUUCUUGGUUCUGCGUACCUCGGCAAUUUACACUAAGGAUGUUGAAUGUGCGUAAUUAUCUGUCAAUGACAUCAAAACAUCAGGAAUUCAAGGGCAUGGUGUCUUUUAAAAUGUUUAGACCGAAGUGAUUGCAACAAAACUGGACGAUUCUGAAGUUUCAUCAAGCGUAACCUUGGAACCCGAAGUCUUUACAAAUUAUGGACAAAGAUUCAAAAGGUGCUAUGAUAUCGUAAACUUGUGAUUUAUACCAAGUUUAAAAUGUAUCGAUUAAAAUGAUAAAAAUUGGAUUAUCAAAAUCUGCACAUUAGAAAUGAUAUUUAAUAUAAUCAACAUUUUUGGCUGCUAAUAUAUUUUUGAAAUGAUUGCUUCCAUUGUAACUCCAAAUGAUGGAUAACAUUAUUUAGAACUCUUCUGAAAAAUGCAGAAAUUCGUUUACAAAUGUUUGAUGUUCAACGAAGUAUCUUUCGUGCAUCGCAGUUAUGCAUUCAAAAUAAAUGUUUGGCUCAUCAAUUAAUUUUUUAUCGAGAAAUUGUUCAGAAUUUUUUAUUCGGUUAUCAAUUCUGCCUGUAAACUCUGAGUUAAAAAUUCAUUCGAUGUGCAUGUGAGUCUUCUUAUAUGUGAAAUGGUUUAAAGUCCUACGUAUUGGUUCCCAUUAAUCGAACAAAUCUAUAUUAUAUUAACAUUCUAUAUUUUACUAGUGCCGUAUACUUACUGCUGACUUAAUGAAUAUCUAUCUUUAUGUAUCCAAACGGCCAAUUUUAUGAUAUGCUAUUACAUGAGCAAUUUAACAUUUCAAUCGAAGUGUAUUUCAAUUUAACAGUGUCUGAUUUGAAAUCAGCUCCCUUAGGUUAACUAUAAACUUAAUUUGUUGAAAUUUAGAGAAAAUAUAUUUGAUCUUGUAUUCACUUUUUGGUAAUUUUUUAAUAUCAAAUCAUAGAAACUAAAGAUGCAAUAAAACUAGAUUCGUGCAUCCAAAUAUCGCUUUCACAUUUAGAAAUCGUAUUUAGACUUGAUACAAAUUAAACGUAAUCCACCUUUUCAGAAUGCACCUUUAUUGUAACCA